CUGCCGUGUGCGGGGAUGGGCUCGGGGGAUGCGGCACCGGGGGAGGACCUCGCCACGGAAAGCACCCUCCCGACUGCCGCCUUCCGUACCCGUAAAAAUAACACCGGUGUGAUGGAAAGGAUUCCAGCUGAAUGUUUUCUCUGUGACUCAAAUACAAACCUGCAUAAGGUAGGUUAUUUCUUCUACCUGUUUCUUCUAUUAUUUCUUUUAUUGUUAAGGGCUAGUCUUUGCCUAGCCUCCAGUGUGUGACAUGGGUAGGGCACAGAGAGCAGAAAACUGUGCCACAGUUGUCUAGGAGCCUGAUAGCACCGUGGUUACGAAGGCACUUUGCUCCCCGUUGAAUUGUCUGGGAUGUCUGCCAGCUUUAAAGGGACUAAAAGUGAGUAAGGAGAUGGCCCACUUUCCUUUCACACAGUUGGCAGGAGGUGAAGCAUACUGUGUGUUUUCAUAAGCGCUGGGGAGCGAUGGGACACUUUCUAGCCAUCCUUUCCCUACGCAGCAUGAUGUGUCACCUGCUCAGGACCAAGGCAGGGACCCAGUGUGCAGUCAUCUGUCCCCUGGGUUAACACUACGGGGAAAAAAAUUUUGUGUGUGGCCUCUGCUUAUUUCAAGUAGAACAUAACGUCACCAGAUGGACUGGAAGCUUAAAGCAAGCUGUGAUUGCUCUUAACACUAAAAAUCAUUUAAGGUGUUGCAAUAGCUACAGCACAG
This 711-nucleotide long non-coding RNA is filed under the name Anser brachyrhynchus (Pink-footed goose). Its description in RNAcentral is "lncRNA (ENSABRG00000001540.1)". Lineage: Eukaryota; Metazoa; Chordata; Aves; Anseriformes; Anatidae. The record is from RNAcentral.